RNAcentral lists this ribosomal RNA (539 nucleotides) under Penicillium commune. RNAcentral's name for it is "eukaryotic LSU rRNA". The stretch from base 160 to 312 matches the Rfam family "5.8S ribosomal RNA". The record is from RNAcentral. Lineage: Eukaryota; Fungi; Ascomycota; Eurotiomycetes; Eurotiales; Aspergillaceae.
CUGGGUCACCUCCCACCCGUGUUUAUUUUACCUUGUUGCUUCGGCGGGCCCGCCUUAACUGGCCGCCGGGGGGCUUACGCCCCCGGGCCCGCGCCCGCCGAAGACACCCUCGAACUCUGUCUGAAGAUUGUAGUCUGAGUGAAAAUAUAAAUUAUUUAAAACUUUCAACAACGGAUCUCUUGGUUCCGGCAUCGAUGAAGAACGCAGCGAAAUGCGAUACGUAAUGUGAAUUGCAAAUUCAGUGAAUCAUCGAGUCUUUGAACGCACAUUGCGCCCCCUGGUAUUCCGGGGGGCAUGCCUGUCCGAGCGUCAUUUCUGCCCUCAAGCACGGCUUGUGUGUUGGGCCCCGUCCUCCGAUCCCGGGGGACGGGCCCGAAAGGCAGCGGCGGCACCGCGUCCGGUCCUCGAGCGUAUGGGGCUUUGUCACCCGCUCUGUAGGCCCGGCCGGCGCUUGCCGAUCAACCCAAAUUUUUAUCCAGGUUGACCUCGGAUCAGGUAGGGAUACCCGCUGAACUUAAGCAUAUCAAUAAGCGGAGGAA